Molecule: ribosomal RNA, 343 nt
Filed under: uncultured bacterium
Lineage: Bacteria
Description: bacterial SSU rRNA
Rfam family: Bacterial small subunit ribosomal RNA
Source: RNAcentral
AAUGAACGCUGGCGGCGCGCCUAACACAUGCAAGUCGAGCGAGGCCACGGCUUCGGCCGUGAGUCGAGCGGCGAACGGGUGAGUAACGCGUGGGUAACGUACCCGGGAGUGGGGGAUAGCUCCGGGAAACUGGAGGUAAUACCGCAUACGCUCACUUCACCGCAUGGUGGAGUGAGGAAAGGUUGGGACCCUUCGGGGCCAGCCGCUCCCGGAUCGGCCUGCGUCCGAUUAGCUAGUUGGUAGGGUAACGGCCUACCAAGGCUACGAUCGGUAGCCGGCCUGAGAGGGUGAUCGGCCACACUGGGACUGAGACACGGCCCAGACUCCUACGGGAGGCAGCAUG